ACCAGCUGGUUUCUCCUCCCAUGAUUACAAUCUUCUAUGAAGAGAGAAAUGGUUUGUUGAAGAUAUGCACACCUAAACCUAUCUGGAUAAAAAUUGCCUGAAUUUCAAGGUGCCUUUUCUCCAAAGCGAAGAGUCCCAGCCUUUCUUAUCUCCUCCUGUAAGGCUGCAGAUCCAUCUGCCUGUGCCUCCCCAGCUCCACCGGGUCCUCUGCUGAUUUGGAUACAUGAGAGCUUUCAGUCACUCUCGAGAUGGAAUCGUGCUGCUUUUUUAAGUCCUGC
Molecule: long non-coding RNA, 278 nt
Organism: Gallus gallus (chicken)
Lineage: Eukaryota; Metazoa; Chordata; Aves; Galliformes; Phasianidae
Source: Ensembl